Cyprinodon tularosa is the source of this 672-nucleotide long non-coding RNA. RefSeq lists it as uncharacterized. Lineage: Eukaryota; Metazoa; Chordata; Actinopteri; Cyprinodontiformes; Cyprinodontidae. The transcript is spliced from 4 exons. The record is from RefSeq and is a predicted model, not a curated record.
UUAAAAGAGAGAGGUUCAUCAACAUUUCCUUAUUUCAUACUUCAUGUAAGAGUAACCAUUUCUCAGGCUGGACAAAGUGGAAAUAGUGCUAAAAACAUCAAAGUGAAACACUGAUUACGAUCUAAUAGGGGUCGUGAAGCUUAAACAACUUUCUUCUUAAGACGCCACAAGAAAUGGAGUUUUCAGAUUCUCUUGCUGCAGUUAUUUGGAUCAACAUCCGUGUCUGCCUCCCGUUGACUUUUCUGCUCAUGGCUUUCUGCUGCAUGGUCCGAUUGGAUCGUGUUCCCGUCUCCUACUUCAUCAACCUUCUGCUCUCCAAUCUAGUCCAGCUCAUAAUUCUGAUCGCUCUACCUCUACUUCCGGAUUAUUACUGGAAACGUCUAAUCUCUGUCCAUAUCUAUGCCUGUUGUGCUCUGGCCAGCCUUUACUUCAGGAUGAUCAUAGCUUUAGAAAGAUGUUUUUUCAUCUCCAAUCCACUAUCAAACUGUCUGACACAAACCAAAUACAUGGUGAUACUCUGUGCUUUGGUAUGGGUGUGUAGUUUUGGAUUUCUUCUUCUUUUUAAAUUUGCCAAAGGACUGCUUGUGCUAGUUAUUGCCAUCUUUCCAGCCCCUGUCUUUAUUGUUUGUCUCUUUUGGGCCCUUAAAUGGAUAAAUACCAACAUGUCAGUGU